UUAAGUGUUUGAUAGCUUAAAGUAUUUAUCAAAGGAAGAUAAUAAGGAAGCCAUACAUACCCCCAAUUGGUAUUCGUGCUUGUUUCCGAGAAAAAACUGUUUAGUUGGAGAAAAACUGAGUAUGGAAUUGAUGACGAAACAUUGUCUGAAGAGAUAGCCGAAAAAGUAGUUUCAUGGCUACAAAACCAAUCUAAUAUUGGCACAUCAUCAACACCAAAAUCAUCUUUUUCUCUAUCAGUUGGAAGUUCUAAGUUAUCAAAGUUGAAAGUCUAAAGCAGAUUUUAGAAGAUAGUCUUAAGGGGAAAUAAUUAACAAGUUUUUAUAAACAAAAUGAUAAUUUGACCGAUUCACUUCGUGCAGAAUUGAUUAAUAUAAUUUUGGAAGAUAUAUUUUUUCAUGAAGCUAAAUUAUCACCAAAAGAUCUGCCAAAUAUAGUGGACGAAAUUGUCAACAACUUCCGCAGUGAGGAAUACUAUUUUAUUCCACGGGGUAGAAAAGCGAAUUCAGGAGGGAAGCUUUGGGAUAACUACGUUAACCAAAAGGCAAAGCGAGCACGCUCUUCAGUUAAAAUUAAAGACAAUUUAGAUGCUUCGAAUUCUAACUCGCUGAGAGUUAAUUCUGAACUCGAUGUAUCAAUUUUACUAGCUUUAAAAGCUAACCUUUCUAGAGAUUUUUCUAUUUGGGAUGAAGUUAAAGAUAAAUGGCAACGAGCAUUCUUGUUACGACAAAAAGAGUUGAAGUCGUCUUCCAAUAAUUAUGAAUUUCUAGAGAACUGGCCUCUUUAUUCUAACGCACGAUCUAAC
Lucilia sericata (common green bottle fly) is the source of this 803-nucleotide long non-coding RNA. RefSeq lists it as uncharacterized. The record is from RefSeq and is a predicted model, not a curated record. The transcript has 4 exons. Lineage: Eukaryota; Metazoa; Arthropoda; Insecta; Diptera; Calliphoridae.